AGGCAGCAGUGGGGAAUAUUGGACAAUGGGGGCAACCCUGAUCCAGCCAUGCCGCGUGUGUGAAGAAGGCCUUUUGGUCGUAAAGCACUUUAAGCAGGGAGGAGAGGCUAAUGGUUAAUNCCCAUUAGAUUAGACGUUACCUGCAGAAUAAGCACCGGCUAACUCUGUGCCAGCAGCCGCGGUAAUACAGAGGGUGCGAGCGUUAAUCGGAAUUACCGGGCGUAAAGCGAGUGUAGGUGGCUCAUUAAGUCCACAUGUGAAAUCCCCCGGGCUUAACCUGGGAACUGCAUGUGAUACUGGUGGUGCUAGAAUAUGUGAGAGGGAAGUAGAAUUCCAGGUGUAGCGGUGAAAUGCGUAGAGAUCUGGAGGAAUACCGAUGGCGAAGGCAGCUUCCUGGCAUAAUAUUGACACUGAGAUUCGAAAGCGUGGGUAGCAAACAGGAUUAGAUACCCUGGUAGUCCACGCCGUAAACGAUGUCUACUAGCCGUUGGGGUCCNUGAGACUUUAGUGGCGCAGUUAACGCGAUAAGUAGACCGCCUGGGGAGUACGGCCGCAAGGUUAAAACUCAAAUGAAUUGACGGGGG
Molecule: ribosomal RNA, 584 nt
Filed under: uncultured Moraxella sp.
Lineage: Bacteria; Pseudomonadati; Pseudomonadota; Gammaproteobacteria; Moraxellales; Moraxellaceae
Description: bacterial SSU rRNA
Rfam family: Bacterial small subunit ribosomal RNA
Source: RNAcentral